RNAcentral lists this ribosomal RNA (305 nucleotides) under uncultured bacterium. RNAcentral describes it as "bacterial SSU rRNA". It matches the Rfam family "Bacterial small subunit ribosomal RNA", at positions 333 to 634 of the family's 1533-position model. The record is from RNAcentral.
UUUUUCCUACGGGAGGCAGCAGUGAGGAAUAUUGGUCAAUGGGCGGGAGCCUGAACCAGCCAAGUCGCGUGAGGGAAGACGGUCCUAUGGAUUGUAAACCUCUUUAGGCGGGGAGCAAUGCCGGGCACGCGUGUCCGGAGGGAGAGUACCCGCAGAAUAAGCAUCGGCUAACUCCGUGCCAGCAGCCGCGGUAAUACGGAGGAUCCGAGCGUUAUCCGGAUUUAUUGGGUUUAAAGGGUGCGUAGGCGGUUUGAUAAGUUAGAGGUGAAAUGUCGGGGCUCAACCCCGAAACUGCCUCUAAUACU